AGGACAUGGGUGGAGACCGAGGCGGGAAGAGGGAGGCACAGGGCGGGGAGAAGCCGCCUGUAGCUUCUCCCAGGCCUCGUUCAGGGCCACCCCCCCAGGGACCUCUGCUAUCUGCUACAUGGAAGCUCGCUCAACUUGCACGUUUGUUUGCGUGGGGCUGCAUACCACAGAUGUGAGUGAAGAGGGGACGAUUAUGUAGCAGUGUGACUGCAGGGCAGGCACUAGACUAAUACUAGUGGACUGGGAGAAGUCACUCUCCAGCGUUUCUUCUUUGCGGAUACGGUGAAGACCCUGUCUGAAAUAAGGUCUUAUCAUCUACCAACAGACAUGGUAAGUCAAGGUGAGGAAAUGGAGACCCAGAUUAUCUUCAAAGUGGUAAAACUAACGGAAGCUAAAACCAGAAUUUGAACUUAACGAUUUAGCUCCGGAUUCCACACCUUGAGUGUCCCUUCCUGUCCUCUUCAUGGCAACCAGAAAGCAGAGAAAAAAGGGAGGAACCAGGAAGGAAGAGAGACCCUGCCAGGUGAAGACCCCGUUGACCUGCCACUUCUGACCACAAGCCACCUCUGAACAGCAAGCCAGCUAUCAUGCCCCAUGGUCCGGUCAUCUUCCAAGCCCACCUUUAAGGGCAUGAGAGUUGGGGUGGACAGCCAGCUGUAAACAGUAACACUCAGCAUCCCCUUAUAUUCAUGCCUCUUAAGCCUGGAGUUCACAAGACCUGGAUACCACCCACCAUGACAUGGAUUUCUGUCUUUGUCUGCUGUCUUCCUAAAUAUCUUGUGUAUUAACACACCUGAAUGACCUCACCUUAGUGGCUUUCCUUAUGAAACUUAUUUUAACUAGAACUGGAAUGUCCACUCCAUUAUUUUCAUCAUCUAAAUCCAAUUCUUUGAAGACAAUAAGGCAAAACAUUUAUAAUAGUUGAGUAUAAAGGUUUAUGUAUAUAGGUCUCACUGUGACUUAUGAUUUGCUGUAUUGUUCAAAUAUUAACAAUAAAAGUUAGG
Heterocephalus glaber (naked mole-rat) is the source of this 1004-nucleotide long non-coding RNA. RefSeq lists it as uncharacterized. The record is from RefSeq and is a predicted model, not a curated record. Lineage: Eukaryota; Metazoa; Chordata; Mammalia; Rodentia; Bathyergidae.